UAGUAUUCUCUAUUCUCUUUCUACUUCAAAAAUGCGAUGAAUUUCAUACAAAAAUUGGUCAAGUUAUGAUAUUCCAUGAAUAAUCUCUGCAUUUUAUCUUUAUAGUUGUUGUUAAGUUACUUGUUGGAUUGUGAAGGUUGAUUAUAUUGUUCUAUAAAAAAUUGUUCCACAAUUUUGUCAUUGCAGAGAGAUUUUAAUUGAUCAUAUGCUUUUAGGAAAAUUAGGAAUAUUUUUUAAUGGAGAGAUACAGUGGGACAUAAAUCAAUAUAUUAGUGGAGAAAUACAUAUAGAUGAAUGCAAUUUUAAUUGAAUCUGCCCAAGGAUCUUAACUUUGCCGAUCAUUACAAAAUUCCUUUUGGUGCGUCUUAUCUUUAUUUUCUUAUUCUGCAACUUUUUUCUUAGUAAUUUUAAACAUUUACUCUUACGUGUUUGUUGAUUCAAAUAUUGCUUUGCUUUCGAGUGAGUGGAGUGUGCUAAUUCAAUCAUUUCAGUUUUCGACUUGAGUGGUCUGUAAAAUUCCAAGCUCUCUUUAUGAUAACGGCUUUGUCGUUAAGGGAAAAUUUUAGAUUAGACUUGUAUUAAUAGCCAUAUAGUAGCAUGUCCUACUAACUUCUACCAUAAAGUCUAAGGCAGAUCUAGGAUUUAAACUUCAUGGAUUCGAUUGUAAUUUGAUCACGUCCAUCAAAUUUACUGUGUUCAGAAUCUAUUAUUAUUCAUAUUUAGUAGAUCUUUCAACACAUAUGCAUAGCGUAGGCCAAAACCUAUGGCUUCAUAUGAAGAAAAGUGGACAUAGACUAUAUACAGGUACCAAAGUAGUGAAGACUUUAUGCUUUCUGCUGUAAUCUGUGAAUAAAAGAAUUAUUACAGAUGUAUAUUCUUUAGAAAGUAAGUGCACAUACAGAGAAGACGAUGUUACUCCAUUUGCAAGCCUUUGAUAAUUAGGAGUGGAGAUAUCUUUUGGAUGUCAAAUGUAUUCGCAGAUCAAGACUUGCAGUUGACAUUCAGCAUAGUUUUACUGGUUAGGAUUUCAGUUGCUUUGUGUAGUUACCAUUUGCAUUUUUGUAGUUACCAUUUCCAUUGUUCAGUUACUAGUUGACACAAAACUUGCCUGAAUUGUGCGAAUUAACUAGACAUGACUACAAGCCUGCAUCCUAGGCUAUCAUGGUGUUACCGGUAACAUGGAUUAGAGCUGAAUUUUACGAAGCACUGUUUUGUGGGAGAUAUGGAGAGAGAACAAUAGAGGUACCAAGAGAGAGUUGGAAUAUGGGCAAACGUAAUCUGAAAAUUAUCUGUUGCGGUCUUCCUUUUAGUAAAAUGAUCUUUAUAUCCAAGAGACCAAGAUUGUUAAUCGUCUGUUUGAAGAGCCAAUAGCGAAUACUUCAUAAAGGUGCAAGUAGGAGGAUCACCAGUUUAUAAGGUUGGAAGGAAGUUUUGCAAAGGUGGUUUUUGAUAGGUGUUUUUGGGUCAACGUCUUGCUGGCGAGAACGAAUGUGCUAAUGGUCCCUUGGCUCUGGAGUACUCUUGGAGGUAGCCAUGGAGUGCCAAGAGAGCAUUAUAAAGGAAGGGCAGGAAACUAUUAUGUCAUGAGAAGGGGCCUUUCAACUACUGAAUCCUGAAUUUACGCUGACCAGUCUCUUGUUGGUGAAUAGGCUAUUGUCAAUCUCGGGACAAGAUAUGUAAAGGGUUGUUUCCCUGGCAGUUGGUGGCCGUAUUACUUGUGAAUUGGUGGAUCAGUUGUGACAUGGGCAGGCCAGUUGUUGACUUGCAAGAGUCAAGUUUAUUUGUUUGGGUUUCCAAACCAUGUGAUGGUUUUGCAACUUCUUUUCUGGUGUAAUUGACAGAUGCAUCUAUCUUCGGUCGUUGAUUUUCAUGUGUGGGUUCAUCUGGAGGGUAGGUCACCUUGUUUUGAGUGCAAGGAAUUUGCUUUAUCUACACAAGGACAUUCCCCUUUCUGUCUGCUUUAGUGGUUGAAGCGUUAAGCUGCUUAUGCACAUCUAACAGAACUAGCCGGUCUUUAGAAAAGUACACACAGUUUAUCAAACAAAUGUUAUCACCUACUAUUAAAAGGGUAGCCCGGUACACUAAGCUCCCGCUAUGCACGGGGUCCGGGGAAGGGCAGGGCCACAAGGUCUAUUGUAAGUAGCCUUACCCUGUAUUUCUUCAAGAGGCUGUUAUCACCUACUAUUAUAUUUGUAUAAGUUGUGCAAAUUAUUCAUAUCUCUCCAAUACAUUAGUAGGAUUUAUUAGUUUAAGCUUUUCUGAUAAACUUCUCUUCUCUCUGGGUUAGAAGUAUAAAAUUUUCUCUAGUGUAAUUUUUUUCUGCUGAAUGUAGAUUCUCGGAAAGCAGGACACUCAAUCUCCUCUUUCUUAACACUGUAAUUGAUUCCUCCAAACUUAAGGGAGGUAGCGAUAUAGUUGAAACGGAGAAAGUGUAUCUGUUUCGAUUCUUGAAUAGAUGCCUAUGUUCCCUGAUUUUCUUCCUUUAGGUCCUCUGUCCGCAUUAGUCAUGUUCUUGGUUUUCUGGUGACAUAAUAAAAGCUAACCGGACGUAAUUGAAUUUAUAUUGUUGUAAUUGGAGGUUGAGAUGAUGAUGUUGUAUCGCUU
Lycium ferocissimum is the source of this 2604-nucleotide long non-coding RNA. RefSeq lists it as uncharacterized. The transcript is spliced from 4 exons. The record is from RefSeq and is a predicted model, not a curated record. Lineage: Eukaryota; Viridiplantae; Streptophyta; Magnoliopsida; Solanales; Solanaceae.